RNAcentral lists this ribosomal RNA (245 nucleotides) under uncultured bacterium. RNAcentral describes it as "partial 16S ribosomal RNA". It matches the Rfam family "Bacterial small subunit ribosomal RNA", at positions 116 to 353 of the family's 1533-position model. The record is from RNAcentral.
CGUAGGUAACCUGCCUUGUAGCGGGGGAGUAACUAUUGGAACGAUAGCUAAUACCGCAUAACAAUGGAUGACACAUGUCAUUUAUUUGAAAGGAGCAAUUGCUCCACUACCAAGAUGGACCUGCGUUGUAUUAGCUAGUAGGUGAGGUAAUGGCUCACCUAGGCGACGAUACAUAGCCGACCUGAGAGGGUGAUCGGCCACACUGGGACUGAGACACGGCCCAGACUCCUACGGGAGGCAGCAUG